AGAAAGGCAUCCCAUAAAUUGUUAUUGGUUCUAUUAACUAUAUUUAAGUCUUGGAGAAAUUUAAACUAGAACUGAGACAGACUCUGAACUGGGGCUUGAGCUGGAUCCCUGCUGCUAAAAAAUUGUGUUAACUUCAAGAUGUGGAUGAAGGUGAAAUUGGCAUUUGAGUACUGCACAAGGCAGAUCUGUGCACAGCACUGGCUGAGAAGGCUGUAUUAAUCUCAGUGCUGUUUGCUGUGGCUGUUGGAAUCCCAGCCUGCAUUCUAUUUCCUGGGAUCUUGCCUGCUGUCUUUAUAGUGGGGAAAAGCUGCUUGUGACUUCUUUCUUUUCCAACUUUCUGAAUGUUCUAAAUUGAUUGUUAAUAUUAUUAUCUCCUUAUUGAGGUCAGUAUUCUCAAUCAAAUACCUAGAACCUGUCAAUUUUGUAUGUAUUUUUGGGGUGGAAAAUAGAUUUUUUUUCUGAUCAAUUAAUUUCUUUUUUGCCUCAAAUACUAAUAUUCCUAAUAAUGAUAGAUAGAAGCUGUGGCUAAAGCAGGCUUGUUGGGAAUUCCAUGGUGCUCUGUUACUGGGGUUGCUUUAUUUUGGUGGGGUUUGUUGAGUGUUGGGUUUUUUUUUUUCCCCAGUGGAACAUCAGAGCACCGUUUACAGUUGCCUUAGUGUCGUGAGGCAGUGCUCUGUCUGUCAGUGCCUGAUCCCUGGAAAUCUGGGGAAAUCCGGGGAAAGCCCUUCUGUCUUGAGCCUUGACUCCAGCUGUAGAUCACCUAGCAGCACUUCAUGGUGGUUGUCUUAGUGUC
Long non-coding RNA from Pogoniulus pusillus (Red-fronted tinkerbird), 793 nucleotides. RefSeq lists it as uncharacterized. NCBI's taxonomy places the organism in Eukaryota, Metazoa, Chordata, Aves, Piciformes, Lybiidae. The record is from RefSeq and is a predicted model, not a curated record. The transcript is spliced from 3 exons.